Molecule: long non-coding RNA, 794 nt
Organism: Nothoprocta perdicaria
Lineage: Eukaryota; Metazoa; Chordata; Aves; Tinamiformes; Tinamidae
Exons: 3
Source: RefSeq, a predicted model, not a curated record
GUUUCUUCUUCCUAAAAGAAAUCAAUAUAAGCACAGGUCCUGGACUAUUUCUGUUAUGAACAGCAUCCAAGACCAGCAAGAAGGAUCUUGGCUAUGUUUUGCCACAUGGUGCAACCCUAGCUGGAUUGUCAGGAAGUUUUCCUUCCAUCACAAGCUUUCUGAGCAAACCCAAUCCUUACCUGAGACUUCUGGGAACUGAUGUGACCAAGUUUCAUAAGGAUCUGGUUGUGUGUCUGUUCUACGUGGUCUAUUUCUUCAUCUGUCUUAGAUGCACAGUGGUAAUGGAAGACUGGUGUGCCUUUUCUGUCAGCCUGAAAAAAUUCUUCAGCAGCUUCAGAUGUGCUAACACAUUCUGCCUGCCAAGUUCAGGGUGAUCGGAGCAUCUGACAGACAGCAACUUCCGUGUGUUAAACAUUAAUAGCUUUCCAGCUUUGCCUCUGGAUUUUUUUUGCUAAGACCUGAGCUGUCUCUGCAGAUGUCAGUCCACGACAGCACAAUUACUUCCCAAACUCAGCACUUCUGAGGAGGCCUGAUGGUGUCAGCACAGAAAGGGAAAGGAUUGCCUGAGAGUGAUUAAAGGAAACAUUGGGGCAUGAAGAGACUUAAUCAAGGUUCUACUGCAUGGCACAGGCAGAGGGCAGCUGUGGACAUGCGCAGUCCCCACUGAGGAAGGACCAAAAGAAGGAUGCUGCAGAGAUUAAAACCUCAUUUUUUGGGAAGCUUCUUGAGCUUGUCAAUAACAGUUGAAGUAGAAAGGGAAGUACGGUCUCUGCAAGCGAUGCAAACAAUGUAAG